This 465-nucleotide ribosomal RNA is filed under the name uncultured bacterium. RNAcentral describes it as "partial 16S ribosomal RNA". It matches the Rfam family "Bacterial small subunit ribosomal RNA", at positions 338 to 795 of the family's 1533-position model. The record is from RNAcentral.
CCUACGGGAGGCAGCAGUAGGGAAUUUUCCACAAUGGGCGAAAGCCUGAUGGAGCAACGCCGCGUGGGUGAAGAAGGUCUUCGGAUCGUAAAACCCUGUUGUUAGAGAAGAAAGUGCGUGAGAGUAACUGUUCACGUUUCGACGGUAUCUAACCAGAAAGCCACGGCUAAAUACGUGCCAGCCGCCGCGGUAAUACGUAGGUGGCAAGCGUUAUCCGGAUUUAUUGGGCGUAAAGGGAACGCAGGCGGUCUUUUAAGUCUGAUGUGAAAGCCUUCGGCCUAACCGGAGUAGUGCAUUGGAAACUGGGAGACUUGAGUGCAGAAGAGGAGGGUGGAACUCGAGGUGUAGCGGUGAAAUGCGUAGAUAUAUGGAAGAACACCGGUGGCGAAGGCGGCUCUCUGGUCUGUAACUGACGCUGAGGUUCGAAAGCGUGGGUAGCAAACAGGAUUAGAUACCCCAGUAGUC